This 433-nucleotide ribosomal RNA is filed under the name Micromonospora sp. zong21. RNAcentral's name for it is "bacterial SSU rRNA". It matches the Rfam family "Bacterial small subunit ribosomal RNA", at positions 958 to 1392 of the family's 1533-position model. The record is from RNAcentral. Lineage: Bacteria; Bacillati; Actinomycetota; Actinomycetes; Micromonosporales; Micromonosporaceae.
AACGCGAAGAACCUUACCUGGGUUUGACAUCGCCGGAAAUCCUCCAGAGAUGGGGGGUCCUUCGGGGCCGGUGACAGGUGGUGCAUGGCUGUCGUCAGCUCGUGUCGUGAGAUGUUGGGUUAAGUCCCGCAACGAGCGCAACCCUCGUUCGAUGUUGCCAGCGCGUUAUGGCGGGGACUCAUCGAAGACUGCCGGGGUCAACUCGGAGGAAGGUGGGGAUGACGUCAAGUCAUCAUGCCCCUUAUGUCCAGGGCUUCACGCAUGCUACAAUGGCCGGUACAAUGGGCUGCGAUACCGUGAGGUGGAGCGAAUCCCAAAAAGCCGGUCUCAGUUCGGAUCGGGGUCUGCAACUCGACCCCGUGAAGUCGGAGUCGCUAGUAAUCGCAGAUCAGCAACGCUGCGGUGAAUACGUUCCCGGGCCUUGUACACACCG